Molecule: ribosomal RNA, 301 nt
Filed under: uncultured bacterium
Lineage: Bacteria
Description: partial 16S ribosomal RNA
Rfam family: Bacterial small subunit ribosomal RNA
Source: RNAcentral
CAGUAGCCGCGGGAAUACGUAGGGUGCGAGCGUUAAUCGGAAUUACUGGGCGUAAAGCGUGCGCAGGCGGUUGUGUAAGACAGGUGUGAAAUCCCCGGGCUUAACCUGGGAACUGCGCUUGUGACUGCACAGCUAGAGUAUGGCAGAGGGGGGUGGAAUUCCACGUGUAGCAGUGAAAAGCGUAGAGAUGUGGAGGAACACCGAUGGCGAAGGCAGCCCCCUGGGCCAAUACUGACGCUCAUGCACGAAAGCGUGGGGAGCAAACAGGAUUAGAUACCCGCGUAGUCCCUGUCUCUUAUAC